GCCGCAUCAAAGUAGAUCGGGUUACUCUUCAAAUUUUAUUGAAAUGCCGAUAGCUUAAUCGCUAAUGGCGGGCCUCAACCCCCACUGGGGGCGUAUCUUCGCGAUACCGGAGGAUUACAAAGGCGACGAUGCUUUCAAAUCUUGUAUUUAGUCGGAGUUUCAUCACAUCCUUUGGUGUGGCUUCA
RNAcentral lists this small RNA (185 nucleotides) under human gut metagenome. RNAcentral's name for it is "Bacteroidales-1 6S-Bacteroidales RNA suggested". It matches the Rfam family "Bacteroidales-1 6S-Bacteroidales RNA suggested". The record is from RNAcentral.